RNAcentral lists this ribosomal RNA (771 nucleotides) under uncultured organism. RNAcentral describes it as "bacterial SSU rRNA". It matches the Rfam family "Bacterial small subunit ribosomal RNA", at positions 681 to 1452 of the family's 1533-position model. The record is from RNAcentral.
GUGAAAUGCGUAGAGAUUGGGAAGAACACCGGUGGCGAAAGCGCUCUACUAGGCCGCAACUGACACUCAGGGACGAAAGCUAGGGGAGCGAAUGGGAUUAGAUACCCCAGUAGUCCUAGCUGUAAACGAUGGGUACUAGGCGUAGCUUGUAUCGACCCGAGCUGUGCCGAAGCUAACGCGUUAAGUACCCCGCCUGGGGAGUACGCACGCAAGUGUGAAACUCAAAGGAAUUGACGGGGGCCCGCACAAGCGGUGGAGUAUGUGGUUUAAUUCGAUGCAACGCGAAGAACCUUACCAGGGCUUGACAUCCGGCGAAUUCUCUGGAAACAGAGAAGUGCCUACGGGAGCGCCGUGACAGGUGGUGCAUGGCUGUCGUCAGCUCGUGUCGUGAGAUGUUGGGUUAAGUCCCGCAACGAGCGCAACCCUCGUCCUUAGUUGCCAGCAUUAAGUUGGGCACUUUAGGGAGACUGCCGGUGACAAACCGGAGGAAGGUGGGGAUGACGUCAAGUCAGCAUGCCCCUUACGUCCUGGGCAACACACGUACUACAAUGGUCGAGACAAAGGGCAGCCAACUCGCAAGAGUGAGCGAAUCUCAGCAAACUCGGCCUCAGUUCAGAUCGCAGGCUGCAACUCGCCUGCGUGAAGGAGGAAUCGCUAGUAAUCGCCGGUCAGCAUACGGCGGUGAUUCGUUCCCGGGCAUUGUACACACCGCCCGUCACACCAUGGAAGCUGCAACAUCCGAAGUCGUACUCCAACUGUUCGCAGAGGAGG